CAGUGGUUUCCAAUGGUGACAGUAAGGAGAAACAAAAAUCAGCUAGAAGUCUGUCUCAGAAUACUGCUAAUUAGAUUCAGUUAAAUGUGACAUAAAGGAGAAAUGUUUGCUGGAUUAAUAAAGGGAUGAAAAUAUUAAUGAAGGAAUGAAUAAAUGCAUGAUGUAGUUAGGCAGCAGAAUUCAUAUAGUUGAAUCAGUUUUUACAGGAGAGAAAAUCAGAUGUUAAUGUCAAGGGUUUAUUUAAACUUUUGAAGAUAUCUAGAGUAAUGCUUGUAUAGUUAACAGAAAUCAAGGAGAUGAAAAAAGAUGUGAAGAUUUUGAGGUAAAAAUGAUAUAGUUGUUUGAAAUACUCAGAUAAGAUUACAUUGGGACAUCUUUGUGCUGAUGUCAAAACGUUGAAAUUGUAAGUCUAAAUAAACUUCAAGAGAAAUUUCAGAUUAUAAAAUCUGACAAUAUUUAUGCAGAGAAAAUCAACUAAACUGUAGAAAUAUAUUCAGAAUAUUAGCAAAAGGAAUUAAAAAGAGAGAAGUUCUGAAAAAUCAGUACAUCUAGACUGAGGAUAAAAUUACAAAAAAUAUCAAAGUAGUUUUAUAGGAGACAUGACUGAGCUUUGCAAUGAGUCUAGAAGCCAGAAAAGAGAAAUUAAGGAAUUUAUUUGCAAAAUAAGUUUGAAAAGAGCAUCAAAUACUGCCUCAAUUAAGGCUUUUAUACAACAAGUGAUCAACUCUACUAAAUAAAGAACAUCAUUUGGACUGUAUAAAACCUUUGUCAAAGCACUAUUAGCAAUACCAUAUUGGGAAACAGAAGAAUCCCUCUAGCUAGUUUUGAGAUUUUUAGGCUUUGAAAAUCUAACUUCAUGAUUAACCAAACUGCAUAAUUUCAUCAUUGAGUUUAUGUUAAGUCAUAUGAAACAAGCCUAAAGGUUUAGAAUUAUUCUGCAGUUUAAAAAAAUUAACAUGAAUAUUUUUAGGAAGAUAUGCUUAUACAAAUAUCUCAUCUUCUGAAGAUAUUGAAGAACAGUGUUGAGAUUUUAUUUCACACGUAUGAGAUCUUCCAGUUACUCAAAUAGAACAGAAGUCCAGUGAUUAUUUCUCAAUACCAUCCUAAAUAUGAUGAUAACCAGUGGCUGUUAUGUUGAGACGCUGGGUCAUUCUAUUUGCUAUUGAAAUAGCAAUAAUAUGGUGGCCACCAUCUCACUGUGAGUUCCCAUGACCUCUUUGUGUGUGCAUGGGGAGAGAAAGAAAAAAAGAGAAAGAAAGAGGGGAGAGUGAGCUCUGUGGUGAUUCUUCUAAUAAAGAUCCCAAUCCUAUGAAAUCAAGUGAAAA
Molecule: long non-coding RNA, 1325 nt
Organism: Bubalus bubalis (water buffalo)
Lineage: Eukaryota; Metazoa; Chordata; Mammalia; Artiodactyla; Bovidae
Exons: 2
Source: RefSeq, a predicted model, not a curated record